GUAUUGAAUCGGUGACGUCACAAAAGACGUGUCAGUGGAAGGAGUAGACAGGUUUCGCGGAGAGGAGCAUGUUGAAAAAUGCCCGAUUACUUUAAUUUAUCGUGCACCGUGGAUAGUAGUAAACAGAGGGGCUUGUGUUGACGCGCGUGCGAGCAUUAGACCGGUGUCGGUACAUGAUUAUCGUCGGGGCCCCGAGGUAUCACGUGGACUGAAAGGAGAUCGGUUUAGUCCGACUAAGCCCGACACGCCGACCACCCGAAAUAUCCACGGAAAGUAAAACUGGUGCGGACGGUGUUGUUUUGUUCCCCGUGGGAUCCUCUUGGGGUGCUACAUCCGGCGUCAGCGCGUGAUCCUGUGAAUUUUUUUACCGGAGGAUUCGAGAAGCUCGACAUUUACAUAUCAGAGGCCCCGGAGGACCUGGGCAACGAUGGACGCUGCCAGACAGGAAUGAUAGAAUGCAAGAGGGUAGCACCGCCGUGGCGCUAGCGAUGGUGACUCCUGGUUACGAUCAGGACCCUGCAAGUGGGGUUGCCGAUUACACGACCCAUCAGGAUCAGGCUCAGUUCGAGGCAGACAAGAGGGCCGUAUACAAGCAUCCACUUUUCCCGUUGCUCGCGUUACUUUUCGAAAGAUGCGAACAGGCUACGCAGAGCUCGGACAACUCGACGUCCGAAAGCUUCAACAUGGACAUACAGGCCUUCGUCCAACACCAAGAAAGAGACCGAAAGCCUUUUCUGAUCAAUGACCCCGAAAUUGACGGUUUGAUGAUCAAGGCGAUACAGGUGCUACGGAUACACCUACUCGAGCUGGAAAAAGUGCAGGAGCUGUGCAAGGACUUUUGCAACAGGUACAUCACGUGCCUGAAGGGCAAGAUGCAAAGCGAGAAUCUGCUACGCAGCGAUUACAGCCACCAUGGGCACGAUAUGGGCCCAUCGAGUGGCAGCAACGGGAGCAGUCCUUUGCAGGUGCUGUCUUCUACAGGCAAUGAUGUUGAGUCGGGAGCUAACGGAUUCAGAGUGAGCAGAGGCGACACCCUGUCGGAGAACGGUGGUGCGAGUCAGCUGGCUGCGCAAGAGGAAGCCGGUAACGACAGGCCGUCGUCGGUGCGAUCAUCUUCCACUGCUCAACGCUCGAACAGAUCCUCCAGCCAAGACCAUGACGAUCCACUGUCACCUUCCACGGUACACGGGAGCACGCCCCUCUCUCAAAUUGGGGCUCAUUCCUGUGCGCCAGUCAACGACAUGUAUCUUGGUCAGGAUGAUAUGGACUAUGUGAAUAUUGGCGAAAGAAUAUAUUUAGAAGAGGCUGGUUAUUGGGGCCUUCUCGCCUUACAAGAGCGUGAAAAUGAAUACAUCGAUGUCGGGGAUGCAAAUGACGAAAAGUAUUUCGAUAUCACUGUGGCAGGCUCCCCUUCACCUGCACCAAGCGAAGACGAAGAUGAAGGAUGUGGCACUGGUACUGCUACUUCCAAUCACAGUAGUGGCCACGGAGGUAAUCAUAGUAGCGUUAAGAAAGGAAGACAAAAGCGAGGCGUAUUACCUAAACAAGCUACAAGCAUUAUGCGAACUUGGCUCUUUGAACAUUUAGUUCAUCCGUAUCCGACGGAGGAUGAGAAACGCCAGAUAGCGAGUCAGACGAACCUGACGUUGCUCCAAGUCAAUAAUUGGUUCAUCAAUGCUCGUCGACGAAUCCUUCAGCCGAUGCUGGACGGUGCCGGGGCGGAUUCAAUACAGCGUGCUGGGAAACGUCAUAAGGUGUCGAAACACGUGGUGCAACAUCAGCAAGUACAGCAACAGCAGGGCGGUGGUUGGCAGUCCGAAGACUCGGGGAGCGAUUCUGGCUCCAGCGACGGUGAGGGAGGUGCCGAUAGAUCGAAAGACGGUAACGAUAGCGAUGAAGAUGAUCUUCACUGACCUCUGUCGAUCAUCGAAACGUCAGCCUCUUUACGGUACCUUCAAAUCCAGUUGCUCAUUACAGUAUUAAGAUGUUCUGAUAUACUAUGAAAAUGUUUUACAAGAGACACAUUUAUCCUAUGAACCUUGAAUGGAAUUAAGAACAGAAAAGGCUAACAGUGUUCAAAGUAAAAAAAGGAGAAGAAAAAAAAGAAAGAAAGAAAGAAAGAAAAAUGGAGAUCAACCAUCUGACUUACUUAUUAGUUCUGCGAGCCUCGUAUAUAGCUGACUCGAUUUCCUGAAUAGUUUUGACAGAAUUUAGAGAUAUUUCUUGUAAAAGGGGAUAUAUAUACCUGGCACUUUCUACAGUGUUAUUGAAAAUCGUCCAAACGAGACUAUGUAUAAUAUAUAGAUAUCUUAAAUAACGACACGAAUGAACGAUCGUUCUUAACCCUUCCUAAUUAAAAAUAAGCUAUGCCGAUAUUGUGCUACUACGUUUACAACAUAGGCCAGAUGUGUUUUUCGCGUGUGAUCGGUCGCCAACCAUCCGAAAUAUAAACGAAACAGAUCAAUCUGAACCUCGUGAGAAAGAAAGAAUCGUGCGUGAAAAAGUCGAGAAAACGAAUUGACAUGAAUUCGGGAGGGGGGGGGGGGAUGAUGAUUGUGAUGAUCGGUCAGUAAUGGUAACAAUCUCGGUCUUGUACUCUUCGUGCCAUUAAAGAGCGUGGUAACUUCCGCGUUUAGUCUUUGUUCAGCUCUGCAGUGUCGUGACAUAGCGAAGUGCUAUCCCUCCAAGAUAAUAAUAAUAAUAAUAAUAAUAAUAGUAAUAAUAAUAAUAACAACAACAAUAAUAAUAAUAUUAUAAUUAAUAAUAAUACUAUUACGACUAAUAACGAUAACAACAACAAUGAUAAUAUAAUACUACUUUAAAUAUAUGAUGAUUAUAUUUUUAAACUCUAAGUGUCGUCUUUGAAGAAGAGAAGAGAGAAAGAGAAAAAAAAAAAGAAAAAAAACAAAAACACGAACGUGUUUACCGCAGUUCGGAUGAAUGUGGUGUUUGCUGUACAUACAAUAUACGAGAACUAUUAGAGAUAAAGGAGAGAACGCUGUUGCGAGUUUUCUUCGAAAGAGAAGAAGCGAGAGAAACACGAUUGACAAUGUAAUAUCACUUUCCUUGUAACCGAAGAAGAAGAAGAAGAAGAAAAAAAAAAGAAAACAACAACCAGAGAAAAAGAGUCUAAGACUUGACGACAAGCAUACAUGCCAUCUUAGGGUUAUAAGUGUUCAUACAUUCGCUGUCUGCACAUGAUCGAAAUUGCGUUUUACUGAAAGUGGUCCUUCAGAAUAGUUGGCGAGAUGUAAAACGUUUUAUUUGAA
Molecule: RNA transcript, 3269 nt
Organism: Frieseomelitta varia
Lineage: Eukaryota; Metazoa; Arthropoda; Insecta; Hymenoptera; Apidae
Gene name: homeobox protein PKNOX2-like
Exons: 9
Source: RefSeq, a predicted model, not a curated record